GCUUCCUGAUCUUGUAACACGGAAACCCAAAAACCAAGAAGCUAAGCUGCUGGCAUUGAACUGGCAACACUGGGCACAUCGUAUGUGGUUAGCACCUCCCCACCACAGACGACCCCUCCGCCCACCUGCUCAUGCAGCUCAUCUUCCGGGCUUGGCUUUUCCUUGUGGUGCUUGGCAUCCAUACAGACAUUGAGAAGCUCAGUCCUGUGCCGGGCUGCCCACACUGUGGUCACCACUGCCAGAAGGAGCAGCAGCUCUGUUGUCGCCAGCUGGGCCAUGUCAGCGUCUGAAGGAAGACCUGUGAUUGGAUCUUAGAUCCCUGAGCCACC
This is a long non-coding RNA of Suricata suricatta (meerkat), 329 nucleotides long. RefSeq lists it as uncharacterized. NCBI's taxonomy places the organism in Eukaryota, Metazoa, Chordata, Mammalia, Carnivora, Herpestidae. The record is from RefSeq and is a predicted model, not a curated record. The transcript has 3 exons.